GAUGAAGAACGCAGCGAAAUGCGAUACUUGGUGUGAAUUGCAGAAUCCCGUGAACCAUCGAGUCUUUGAACGCAAGUUGCGCCCGAAGCCAUUAGGCCGAGGGCACGCCUGCCUGGGUGUCACACACCGUUACCCUCGCGCCAACGUCCAUCGUUGGCCGCGGCGCGGGGCGUGCGCUGACCUCCCGCGAGCGGGGUCUCGUGGUUGGUUGAAAAUCGAGUUCGCGGUCGAGGGUGCCGUGAUGAAAUGGUGGAUGGGCGACGCCCGAGGCCAAUCACGCGCGACUCUGUCCGGCUCGNANUCCUGGACCCCUUCGGCGUCUCCGGACGCUCUUUGGCGAGACCUCAGGUCAGGCGGGGCUACCCGCUGAGUUUAAGCAUAUCAAUAAGCGGAGGA
This 396-nucleotide unclassified non-coding RNA is filed under the name soil metagenome. RNAcentral's name for it is "partial contains 5.8S ribosomal RNA, internal transcribed spacer 2, and large subunit ribosomal RNA". The stretch from base 1 to 122 matches the Rfam family "5.8S ribosomal RNA", at positions 35 to 154 of the family's 154-position model. The record is from RNAcentral.